Oncorhynchus nerka (sockeye salmon) is the source of this 2797-nucleotide long non-coding RNA. RefSeq lists it as uncharacterized. The record is from RefSeq and is a predicted model, not a curated record. The transcript is spliced from 5 exons. Lineage: Eukaryota; Metazoa; Chordata; Actinopteri; Salmoniformes; Salmonidae.
CCUCACUAGCCAGAUGAAGCUAGCUGACUGCUUAUAACGUUAGCUUUGGGCUAGAGGGUUAAGAAGUUGGCUAGUUAACUGAAGUUCAAUUUAAAUAAGCUAAUACUAGCUAAUACGAGGUUCCUUAGGAAGAGGCUGGUUUAAAGCUCAUGUUACCCUAGCCCCUUUCAUUACAUUAGCUAGCUAAUACUUACUCACAAGGAUUCCUAAAUAAUUGCUAAGAAUGAUGAAAAUGACUAGUUUCUACUGGUCUUUGUUUUCAGGCUGGUUGUAUUGGUGUUAGCUAGGUAACUUUACCAAGCUAAUGCUAGAACGUUUCCAAUAGGAUAUCGCUAGCUCGUGCUUGGCUCUGCCCACUAUGACUCAUUUGUUCCCAUUGGAAACGACAUGUAGCGGUCUAACUUGUCUUUGCGUAACCCUUAUACAAAUGUUAACUUUCAACUUCAAUGGGGGUGGGGACAUCCCUAGGAUUCCGAUUAACACGGACCCUGAAAGAAGGAAAAGAAGUGACGUCUGGUAAAAUUAAAAGGGAGUAAUAUCCGGCAUUCUUCUGUAUUAUACCAUCAAUAUUUGGUCUCUGUAAACGGAUAGUUUUUCCUGUGUGUAUUUCAUCAAACUUCCUCUACACACAAGUCCAUACAUCGUGCAAUCGCAUUGGGCCAAAUCACAAAUUCACCCCCUUCUGAAGAUGAGAUGCUGCAUGCUAAAUUGGUACCCUAAAAAUAAAUAUUAGUUAGGUAGCUACCUCGUCUCUCUACUUUUAGAAAGGAGCUAACUAUGACUCUUAAAUAUAAUCUACUCAACCCUAUACUGAGCGUAUUUCAGUUAGUUUGUAUAGUUUUAAUAUUAUUUACUUGUAACUUUCAGUUUUGUCAAGCUAGUGAAGUCAGACCUGAAAAUGUCUUGUUUGGGGUCCAGGGCUAGACCCUAAAGUCGUUUUGCCCGUUCGAUCCAGGCUGUCAACUCAGCUGGGGAAAACUUCUCUCCAGGUAGACUCGUUCAGAAGCAGCAUGUCCGCAUCCACACCCACCUUCCCCUGGACAGAGGCGAUGGUUCCUUUCUGAUGAGGAAUUCUCAAUUGGCCAUGGAGGGGAGAGUGACCAAACUCAGCAUGCAUCCACAGAAAUGCACAAGAAGGCCACGCUAGCUAAAGGUGCUAGCAAUAUCGUCUACUGCGGAAAAUUAUGUUCUGCCUCCUACGGAAGGUGAGCCUGUGUAUUUCUCAGUAGCCAGUGAUGCCUCAAACAAGGGAAAUAGAAAAAUGUCCGUGUGACCGUGCACUGGCACGCCACCUUUUGUCCCUUAUUUGGUAGUGAGAAAGUUGGCAACCCUAAUUCAGCCUCAUUUACUGCCUUUAAAAAAAACAUAGCUGAUAUGGCUGAUUUGCUUAAACAAAUGUGGUUUUUACUGACAAUUGAGAUGUACAAACUAUGGCAUAAGGUGGGGGGGCGAGUAGAUAAGAGGCAAUCAGUCAUUUCGAUUGACAUUAAUGAGCGAGCUAGGACGGACAUAGUCAAUAUAAAUAUUUUUUCAGACUUCAGUGCUUUCCCCUCCAUUGACCUGCAGCGCCUCCUACAGGAGGUUCCCUGUCGGUUCUCCAACAGAGGAGGUCUCAUUCACUAUGCUGUAAUCGACAACCAGGUCGCUGUUCCCUGGGAAAAUGCAUUGACUUCAAGAUAAUAAUAAAAAAUAAAAAAAUGUCACCUUAAUUUUAUUAGUUCUCUGAUGAAAUGUUCCUCUCACUAUGCAGGAAGGUAAAACGUUGCUUUGUCUUUUUUGUGUCAUUGUAUGUGUUCACUAUUAUUUAUAGGUGAGUUUGUGUGUGCUGGUCUCUGUCCUUUCAUCAAUAAGUAUGAUCAUGGUCCUUUCUUAACUGUCCGAUGGUACUUAUUUGCCCCUCACCAGAAAUUCACAUAAUAAUAUAUUUUCAAUAUGAGGUGAGACUUCCUGAUGUGGAAUUUUACAUCAAUGUGGGAGACAGGCCAAUGGAAACAAGGAAGCAGAUGACAUUCCUGGGGCUGUUCCAAUCAUCUCCUGGUGCGGUUCCACAGACACCAUCCUCCCCACCUAUGACAACACUCACUCCACCCUGGAGACCCAGUGACAUUUCCAGUGACCCGCUGUCAGUCCAGGGCAACACAGGGGAAUGAUGAUGAAGCACAAGCGAUAGCAAAGCAGGCCAGACGAUUGUACGACAGCUCGUACAACCUAACAGAUUCUAAUGUUACUAUUACAGUGUGCUACAGCUGUACUCUGAGCGUCAGACCAACCAGCCCACACUGCAUCCAGACAUGAAGCGGGUUCCCCAGCCAUCCGACCAGAGUGCCCUUUGCAGCUGUCAGCAAGAGCCUCAAAGAGAUGAUCCCAGCCUGGAGAAGGAUGAACCCUGAUCAACACUGAAAAGAAAGGGAAGAAACACUAGCUAUUUCAAUACAGAAAGUGCCUUGGACUUCUGCUUGCUUGUUGAUGGAGAUUCUAUGCAAUGAAGAAGUACUGUGUGACCAGGACUGCUUAGUGGAUGUACCAACACUCAUAUAGACGAUCAAAUAUUAAAUGUGGUUUGAGCCAAACAGACCUUGUCACAGCUCACUUUACUGAGCCUUUACUGAGCCUGGAAUAUGACUGUUUUAUUGACAAGACCAUUAUGCGGAAGCAUCUGUUUUCACUAACCUGAGUGAUAUUGCCAUAUAGAUUGGUUUCUUUUUGGACUCUUCUAAAGCCACUAUGAUUGUGCAAUUAAAUGACCUAUUUACUUCGACGUACUGUUGUGAAAAAAAUACAAUUGUAUUGAAACAUU